Callithrix jacchus (white-tufted-ear marmoset) is the source of this 2778-nucleotide long non-coding RNA. The record is from Ensembl. NCBI's taxonomy places the organism in Eukaryota, Metazoa, Chordata, Mammalia, Primates, Cebidae.
GCAAUGCAUAUAGUAUUAGAGAUUGGGCCAUCUACUUCCUGCCCAGGAAAGCCCCUCCAGGGACAGCAGAAUCAGAUAACUAGAGUUAGCAUUCUGAGAACUAUAUUGUUCCAAAUUAACAUGUGAGAUUUUAAUUUUUUUUCUUAUUUUCUUGUUUAGUUACAUUUUUAUCAUUUGCAUGAGGUUCUAAGACUUAACAUCUGUGGGAAGCCGGAAACCAGAGAUGUAGAGAAGUACUGAAAUGCUGAAAUGCUAUGAAUUUACUAUAAAAGAACAUUCUUCACUGAAGAGAUCUAUAGCUGCCAAAACACCCUUUCAUGGGUGAGAAGACGGGGGUAAGGAAAAAGAAAAAGAGAAGAGUAUGAUUCUAGGAACCACAUUGCAGAAAUGCCAAAGGGAGGGACAAACAAAUGAAUUUGCCUUUCUUCAAGCAUCAGAAUACAGGAAAAUGAAAAUUUUUUUUCUUUUCUUACUUCUUUCUUACUGUUGUGUGUCAUAUUUUAUUAACAGUAUUGCAACAAAGCAGAGCAAAAAAUGUUCAAGAUAUUUUCAUUGUGAUAAUUUGCUAUUUCGGGUACUUUGUGGGUUAGAUGGGGUGUUGGGGUCAAGUGUGUGGUCAGCAUGAGCACUACAAACACUGUUUUUAGAGGAAAAUGAGUUUCAAAUAUCAAUUGACCUAAAAUGAACUCUUUGAACAUGUCUGAUGUUUUAAUGUGAGAAAUUUGUUUCUGCAUAUUUUUAGUGUCAGUUAGUAAGAUUGGUCAACUCUUUGUUUGUUUGUUUGUUUUUUGAGACAGAGUCUUACUCUGUCGCCUAGUUUGGAGUGUAGCAACACUAUCUCAGUUCACUGCAACCUCUGCCUCCGGGGUUCAAGCAAGUUUCUGCCUCAGCCUCCCAAAUAGCUGGGAUUACAGAUGCCUGCCACGAUGCCUGGCUACUUUUUAAAUUUUUAGUAGAGACGGGAUUUCACCAUGUUGGUCGGGUUGGCUUUGAACUCCUGACCCCAUGAUCUACCCAACUCAGCCUCCCAAAGUGCUGGGAUUACAGGCGUAAGCCACCAUGCCCGGCCAACUCUUUCAUUAUGUCAUAUGUACAGGGCAGACAAUGGAACUGAAGACAUGUAUAUCUUAGAAUGUGCUGUAAAAUCUCUUAUGAUCCCUGGGAACAUAUAUCCUUGAGAAUCCCCAGUAACAUAUCGUUGUGAUUUUUUAUGAUACAAGGGAUGAAGUGGGAGAAAACCGGGGUUGACAGGUUGUGGCCUUUUAGAGAAGGGCUGUCUGGCUCCAUGUCAAAGAUGUUGGAAAGAUGUCAUAGUGUGGGUAAGGCUUGAUCAUCCAACUUAGAGAAUUAGUGACCAUGACUGAGAGAGACUGAUAAGCCCUCUCACUGUGGUCAAUGCAUUUACAGGUGUGAAAAGAGCUGAUGUAAUGGUUUGAAAAAUAUCUUAAGAAGCCCAUUGCUGCCUUAUUUUGCAUGCAAGCAGAGACACUGAUGAUAUGCUUGAUUAUUUCGGAACUAAGUGGAUUAAUUUUCCCUAAAAAUUCCGGGUAGAGACUAUAAGGAAGCAAUGAACAGAAUGAGGCAACCCACAGAACUUGGUAGAUAGACAUUCAGACUAGAGAGAGACAGAGAUCAGAUCCCAGCAGUAACUCAGGGAGAGACCCGAGAGCCAUGGACAUGACUCCACCUAGUUAGAUCCAUUUGAGGUGGGAAUUAAAAUAUUAAACAGGACAAACCACAUGAGAAUGCAGAUGGACAGGUUUUACCCACAGCUGCUGCAACCAGGUGCUAUGCUUGAUAGUAUGACCCAAGAAACCAGCAUAAAGAACUUCAGAAUAUGCAGGAAGAGCUUUCCAGAUAGCACUCAUAUUAGAAAUUAUUUUUUUCAUCUAAAAACUAAGAUAAUUUAUAACAGCUUCCCAACAUAGCAAUGCAGAAGUGAAGGCAUUUUAUGGCAAUUAUUUUACAGAUACAUUUUCAUGUUAGAAUAAAAUAAACUUGGAGAAUUUCAGCUUUGCAUGAUUUAUAAAGUAACAAACAGUUACAAAAAUACCUAGAGCAAGGAAAACAAUUUUAAAAAAUGGAACCAACCCAAAUGCCCAUCAGUCAACGAGUGGAUAAAGAAAAUGUGGCAUAUAUAUAUACAUACCAUGGAAUACUAUUCAGCCAUAAAAAGGAGCAGAAUAAUGGCAUUCACAGCAACCUGGAUGGAACUGAAGAUUAUUAUUUUAAGUGAAGUAACUCCGUACUUUUAUAUUUGAGUCCUUGUAAAUGAACUGUAUCCUAGCUUAAUCGUCAGACAAGAUUGAAAACCUAAUUUAGGAGCAUGCGCCUGUAACAAUAACUGAGUCUUGGCUAAUCCCAGUGGCCAUACUUCAGCCGCUCACAGACUGCUAACUGUUCAAACUGUGUUCAAAUAAGGCAAACACCAACCUGUAACCAAUCCAGCUCUUUCUGUACCUCAUUGCCGAUUUCUGUAUAUAAUUUUCCUUAUUUUUAUUUAUAAAUCUUCCACUACAUGGCUGUGCUGGGCCUCUGUGAAUCUGCUGUGAUUCAGGGGCCACCCCAUUCACAAAUCAUACAUUGCUCAAUUAAACUCCUUUAAAUUUAAUUUGGUUAAAGUUUUUCUUUUAUUGAUAUAUAUAUUCAUAUAUAUAUGUUGUGUAUCUGUAUAUGUAUAUGUAGAAUUAUGCAUAAAUUUAAUUUGGUUGAAGUUUUUCUCUUAUCAAUAAGCAUAUUCAUAUAUAUAUGUUGUGUAUCUGUAUGUAUAUAUAGAGA